Molecule: long non-coding RNA, 168 nt
Filed under: Oncorhynchus mykiss (rainbow trout)
Lineage: Eukaryota; Metazoa; Chordata; Actinopteri; Salmoniformes; Salmonidae
Description: lncRNA (ENSOMYG00000060793.1)
Source: RNAcentral
CAGAUGUUGGAGAUUCACUGGUGGGAGGACUGUUUGCGCUAAACCCCUUUUCCUGGAUGGGAGAACAUCUUUAGGAAAAACACACAUUGCUCAAUUUCACACUUUGGUCUCCAGAACAGGGCAUGUUGUAUCCAGGUAAGGUGCAUCAUUUUCAAGGCAUUUUACAUU